Molecule: non-coding RNA, 2733 nt
Organism: Camellia sinensis
Lineage: Eukaryota; Viridiplantae; Streptophyta; Magnoliopsida; Ericales; Theaceae
Source: RefSeq, a predicted model, not a curated record
UCUCUUCUUCUUCUUCUUCAGAGAGAGAGAGAGAGAGAGUGUUCUCUACAGAGAGAUCUCUCUCUCUGAGGUAAAUAUGAGUGUUUGUGCAGCUGAUCUUUUUACCAUUCCUUGAUUUACAAGAUCUCUCCCUCUCUCUCUGUAAUCGCCAUUGUUGAGCACAGGGCAAGUACAGAGCUGGCGGUUUAUAUCUCAAUCCUUUCGCUAAUUUCGGUCUGAUGGACUACAGCUCUGAUGAAGAUUCAGAUUUGAGCGAGUCAGAGAUCAAUGAAUACAAAGAGAAACCUUAUGAGGAACUGAAGGCUGGGAAGUACAAAGUAAAGCAUGUAAAUGGCGCCCUCAGGUGUCCCUACUGCGCAGGAAAGAAGAAACAAGAUUACAAGUAUAAGGAGCUUCUCCAACAUGCUUCGGGAGUGGGUAAAGGUUCCGCCAACAGAAGUGCAAAACAGAAGGCAAACCACCUUGCACUUGCAAUGUACUUGGAGAUUGACCUAGUGGAUGAGGCAGAGCAACCACAGUGUGUGAUUGAACCGGCUCCAGUAGCUGAGAAGUCUGAACAAAAUGAUCUAUAUUGCUGGCCUUGGACAGGAAUUGUCAUGAACAUUGUUGAUGAGCCAAAGAAUGGAAAAGCUAUAGUUAGCAAUGAAUAUUGGUUGAAGAAGUUCUCUAAAUUUAAACCUCUGGAAGUUGAGAUUUUCUGGGAUGACCAGAACCAAACUUCGCAAGCCGUUGUGAAAUUUGAUAAUGACUGGACUGGUUUUAAGAAUGCAAUGGAAUUUGAGAAGUCUUUUGAAGCUGAUCAUCACAGUAAAAAGGAGUGGAAAGCUCAGGAAGGACUUCAUGGUUCCAUUAUUUAUGGAUGGCUUGCUCGUGAGGAUGAUUAUAAGUCAGAAGGGCCAGUUGGACAAUACCUUCGUAAAGCAGGAGAGUUGAAGACAAUCUCUAACCUUGUCCAGGAAGCCACUCAAGAUAGAAACAAAAUUGUGGCUAACCUAGCCAAUGAGAUCGACAUCAAAAAUGAAAAUCUGAAUGAGUUGCAGUACAAGUACAAUGAGAAGACAAUGUCUUUGAGCAGGAUGCUUGAGGAGAAAGACAUGCUACAUCAUGCUUUCUAUGAAGAAACAAGGAAGAUGCAGCGUCUAGCACGAGAGCACAUUCGAAGAAUUUUAGAUGAACAGGAGAUGCUGAAUUUUGAGUUGGAGAACAAGAGGAAGGAACUUGAUACUUGGAGCAAACAACUAAACAAACGUGAAGCAUUAACUGAACGUGAGAGACAGAAACUUGAUGAGGAGAAGCAAGAGAAUUCGACAAGAAACAAUUCACUGCAAAUGGCUUCCAUGGAGCAGAAAAAGGCCGAUGAGAAUGUCUUAAGGCUGGUUGAAGAGCAAAAGAAGGAGAAACAAGAGGCAUUAAAUAAGAUACUUCGGUUGGAAAGGCAACUAGAUGCUAAACAGAAAUUGGAGAUGGAAAUUGAAGAGCUUAAAGGAAAAUUGCAGGUGAUGAAGCAUUUGGGAGAUGAAGAUGAUGCAGCUGUUCAGGAGAAGAUAAAAGAGAUGAAUGAGGAAUUGCAGCAGAAGGUUGAUGAGAUGACUAGUUUGGAAGACCUAAAUCAAGCACUGAUCGUCAAAGAGCGCCAAAGUAAUGAUGAGCUGCAAGAAGCUCGUAAAGAAUUGAUUGUGGGUUUGAGUGAAAUGUUGAGCAGUCGCACUCUUAUUGGGAUAAAGAGAAUGGGAGAGAUUGAAAUGAAGCCGUUUCAGAAUGCAUGCAAAGAAAAAUUUCCAAAUACAGAAGUAGAAAUCAAGGCCUUAGAACUGUGCUCCUUGUGGCAAGAGAGGAUGAAGAACCCUGACUGGCAUCCAUUUAAAAUUGUCUCUGCUGAGGGAGGAAAUCAUCAGGAAAUUAUAAAUGAGGAUGAUGAAUUGCUCAAAAAUCUCAAGGAGGAAUGGGGAGUUGAGAUAUAUGAGGCAAUCACAACUGCCUUGAAAGAGAUGAAUGAAUAUAAUCCAAGUGGUAGGUAUGUGGUUUCUGAGCUAUGGAACUUCAAAGAAAAAAGAAAAGCCACAUUAAAGGAAGUCAUUGCUUAUAUCUUGAAGACUUUGAAAACACUGAAACGCAAGAGGUGAUGAGGUUGAGGAACUCAGGGUAAUACAGUUUAAAUAUUCAUGGGAUGUCUGAACUAUAUGUACAAGCAUCAAGUGGAAUCAACCUAGUAUGAUGUCAAAGCUGUUCCCAAAGUUGGUUCUUCAUGGUUUACUAUGCAAAUUUUUAUGUUUACCAUUUGAGGUUUCAAAUGGCAUUAUCUGAACUUGUAUGUGAUGAUUUCGAAGGCUCUUCAUGGUUUACUAUUAUGGAACAUUUAAAAUGUAAUGAAGAGAGUUAUGCAGGAGAUGAAAGUACGGAAGGUGGAAGGUGCACUGCACCUGAUAGAACCAAAAUUUGAAACAGAUGUCUUUGUAGGCGCACUUCGUUGCCAACCAUUGGGUGUAUGCUAGGACAAAACUCCUAAAAAAAUUGGAUUGAAUGGUCUCCAUUGUGGAUGAUAUAGCAUUUUAACAUCCGCUUCAGUAGGAAAAUCAGGGAUGUUGUAAUUUGUGUACUUGGCAGUUGGUUAUGAUAUUCUUAAUGGAACUCUUCCCUUAGUCAGUAGCAGCAAGGGCUUUUAAUUUCAGAAACUGUGUUUUUUGUAAUGUUUUGUUUAUUUUGUUUUUAGUCUGCACCCCUUUACCUUUUCUC